This 76-nucleotide transfer RNA is filed under the name Bacteroidota bacterium. RNAcentral describes it as "Bacteroidetes bacterium tRNA-Trp". It matches the Rfam family "tRNA". Rfam says of the family: Transfer RNA (tRNA) molecules are approximately 80 nucleotides in length. Their secondary structure includes four short double-helical elements and three loops (D, anti-codon, and T loops). Lineage: Bacteria; Pseudomonadati; Bacteroidota. The record is from RNAcentral.
ACGGGUGUAGCUCAACUGGUAGAGUAGUGGUCUCCAAAACCAUUGGUUGUGGGUUCGAGUCCUACCACCCGUGCUA